CCUACGGGUGACAGCAGUGAGGAAUAUUGGUCAAUGGACGCAAGUCUGAACCAGCCAUGCCGCGUGCAGGAAGACGGCUCUAUGAGUUGUAAAUUGCUUUUGUACGAGGGUAAACGCAGAUACGCGUAUCUGUCUGAAAGUAUCGUACGAAUAAGGAUCGGCCAACUCCGUGCCAGCAGCCGCGGUAAUACGGAGGAUUCAAGCGUUAUCCGGAUUGAUUGGGUGUAAAGGGUGCGUAGGCGGUAGGAUAAGUUAGAGGUGAAAUCCCGAGGCUCAACUUCGGAAUUGCAUCUGAUACUGUUCGGCUAGAGAGUAGUUGCGGUAGGCGGAAUGUAUGGUGUAGCGGUGAAAUGCUUAGAGAUCAGACAGAACACCGGUUGCGAAGGCAGCUUACCAAGCUACGUCUGACGUUGAGGCGCGAAAGCGUGGGGAGCAAACAGGAUUAGAUACCCUUGUAGUC
This 460-nucleotide ribosomal RNA is filed under the name uncultured bacterium. RNAcentral's name for it is "partial 16S ribosomal RNA". It matches the Rfam family "Bacterial small subunit ribosomal RNA", at positions 338 to 795 of the family's 1533-position model. The record is from RNAcentral.